RNAcentral lists this ribosomal RNA (287 nucleotides) under Bacillus cereus. RNAcentral describes it as "partial 16S ribosomal RNA". It matches the Rfam family "Bacterial small subunit ribosomal RNA", at positions 555 to 840 of the family's 1533-position model. The record is from RNAcentral. Lineage: Bacteria; Bacillati; Bacillota; Bacilli; Caryophanales; Bacillaceae.
UGGGCGUAAGCGCGCGCAGGUGGUUUCUUAAGUCUGAUGUGAAAGCCCACGGCUCAACCGUGGAGGGUCAUUGGAAACUGGGAGACUUGAGUGCAGAAGAGGAAAGUGGAAUUCCAUGUGUAGCGGUGAAAUGCGUAGAGAUAUGGAGGAACACCAGUGGCGAAGGCGACUUUCUGGUCUGUAACUGACACUGAGGCGCGAAAGCGUGGGGAGCAAACAGGAUUAGAUACCCUGCUAGUCCACGCCCUCCCCGAUGAGUGCUAAGUGUUAGAGGGUUUUCUCCCCCC